AGAUAUAUAGCUCAGUUGGCUAGAGCAGAGAUCUUUUAAAUCUUUUGUCAAAGGUUCGAAUCCUUUUAUAUCUA
PVC group bacterium is the source of this 74-nucleotide non-coding RNA. The record is from Rfam. NCBI's taxonomy places the organism in Bacteria, Pseudomonadati.